GAACGACUGGAGAAAGGCUAAGAGUAACAUUUUUAGGCAUUUUAUUAAGAUCCUUCAUCCAUGGACUUCUGGGUCUGCAAACUGGCUCAAGUAUGGGAAUCAGUUCACAGGCAGAGAUCCCCUUUUGCCAUGAUCCAGUGUAGCCUUUCUUUUAUUUGUUAAGAGAUUUUCCAUUUGUACAGCUGCUUUAAAAAAAGAAAAAAGAAAAAAGAAUGCAGUAGGCUUCUUACCAUUUCAUGCCAGAAGUACCAUGGUUGAUUAACCAGCACCAAAGGUCCAUGAGAGUUAUGCCAUUAUAAAAUUCACCACAGAUUAGACCUAUAUGGACAUUGCUUUGCCUGUGCUUCCCAUUAUAACUACAGUCAUCUUGUCUUUGGUGACUCAGUGCUGCCACCUGCUGCUUCUGCUUGGGGGCCUGAUUAGACUCAGGCCUGGUCAACUUGCAUUCAAUUCAUCCAACUGAGCAGCAACAUCCCCAACCCUAAGGCCUGGCGCAAGGAAAGGGGCAACAACAAAGCUUAUCAAAUGUGCUGGUGCCCCUCUUGCCAUUUUGCAUCUUAUGGGAUUAGUGAAGGACAUUCGUGAUUAACUGAGUUACCAAUAAUGCGUUGAUAUCACACUAAAAAAAAGCACGUCCCCUUGGAGUUAUGUCGCCAGAGUGAGUGCAGGUGGGGUUCUCUCGGCCUGCCUGUCCCUGUGUGUGUGUAGAGUCUGUAUGUGCAAUAUGUGUCUUAUGUGUGGGAGUGGUCUGUCCCUAGCAAAGGGUUUGCUCUGUCUCUAUUGGGCAGCCCAGAAAGCACUACAUGGCAGUGGGGAACUUUACUGAAAUCUAAGUUUUACAAGGGAUUCAGUCCCUGAAUUGAGCUGACUCCAGCUGACAGAUAACACAUUAACUAGAGAUUAUGAUUAUUUAACAUUAUGGUGGGUUUUAGGGAGUAUUUGCUGCUUUCGGCAGAUGGUACACAUGCAUUGCCCUGGGUCGGGGCAUUUAAAAUACAUAAGAUUAGAGCUGUGCAUUAGCUCAGGUUGUAAAAGUUGAUGACUUAGUACACCCAAGGCAUCUAAUGUUUGUUAUCACAUUGUUCUCUUAAAGGCAGGCUAAAGUUCGAGGGUACAGUAACAUUGACAGUCUUAAAUUUUAAGGGACCUUAAAAUAUAUUAGCUGUGAAGUUCCAGUCUCUUAGAAUGUAAGAUAUUCUCAGAAUAUUGCAUUGCCAUGUGUCCUGGUGUAUUGGAGCCCAGAAGAGGGUAUCUGAUUCCCUGGGACUGGGGUUACAGUGGUCAGUUGCCAAGUGGGUUCUGAGAAUCCAGCUGGGGUCCUGUGAAAGAGUAGCCAGUGCUCUUAACCACUGAGCCAUCUCUCAGCUCUGUCAGAUAAGUGUUUUUCAAAGAUGUUCUUAGUCUGUACUGUAUUUUGGGGGUUUUUUUGGUUGUUUUUUGAUUACUCAGGGGGUUAACUUUGGUUUUGUUUUUUGGGUUUGUUUGUAUGUUUGUUUCUAGACAGGGUUUCUCUAUGUAGCCCUGGCUAUCAUGGAAUUCUCUACUCUCAUAGACCAGGCUGGCUGCGAACUCAAGAUCCUCCUACCUCUGCCUCUCUUGUGCUGGGAUUAAAGAUGUGCACCACCACCUGGCUGGGUUUGUUUUGUUUAGUAGUAUUGUGGAGGUGAGGGGGAGAGAAUCCUGCUGUAUAGCUGGUGUUGACAUGGAAACUGUGUAGUUGGGGCUUGCCUUGAAAUCAUGGUACUACCUCAGCUUCUCAAGUUCUGGGAUUAUAGGUGUGCACCAGCAGAGCAAAUGACAUCUUUUGGAUUUAUUAGAGCAUAAAACUCUCUCAUUCUCAUUAAUGUUGUAAGGGGCAUGGUGUCCACACCCUUAGCCCAGCAGCUCAGGAAGCAGAGGCAGGUAGCCUCUGUAAAUUCAGCUCCAGAUAGUGCUACAUAAGGAGACGGUCUUAAAACCCGUUUUGUGUGUGCUACGGCAUCUGAGCCUUGACUUUCAGGAGUUGGUUCUUCCAUCAUGUGAGUUCCAGGGAUUGAACCCAGGUCGUCAGCAUUGAUGACUGGCUUACCACCGAGUCAAGCUGCCAGCCCUCUUUCCUUAUGCCUUGUGUAAUAACAGUGUACACAGUAAAGUACUAGGGAGGGAUAUACUCUGCUAAUAGUGUACUUGCCUUGCAUCCUUGAGGCCUCGGGCUUGAUCUCUAGUACCCCCACCCCAAACCCAGAAAAGAAACGGUCUGCAGUGUGAGCGCUUGUGCAUACCUGGGUUAAGAAGCGGCUGCCAGCUCCCUGCGAUGCCAGCUCAGUUGAGCCCUUCUUGGGGAGUUGGGUUUUCUUAAGUUACAUUUUAAAAGUUUUGUGCACAUGGUUGGGGGCUUAGGGGAUGUGUGUCAUAGUGUACUCCUGGAGGUCGGAGGACAACUUUCAAGGGUCAGUUUUCUCCACCACAUGGUAAGGAACUCAGUCUUCAGGCUUGACAGUAAGCCCUUUUACCCAGGUAACUGUCUCAUUGGCCCUUUGUGUUCAGAUUGCAUUAGCUGGUGGCAGUAUAAGGGAUAGUCUUACUGGCAGACAGCAAUACUUACCUAAGCUGUGGCUCAUAGUCUAGUUGUAGCUUUCCCGAAAGCUCACAGAACCCUCACUGAGAAAGUCACUGGCAAGGUCAGGAUAGGAAGUACAGGGCUCAAUGCUGCUGGUGUGUCAGGCCGGGUCAGAGUGUGCAUCCAGUGCUCAGUGUUUGACAGCACUGUUUGAUGAGGCAGAUGCUCUCUAUCUUCUGCUUCUGGCUCUACCACUUGACUGCCAGCUCUCGGGAGUUGGUUAAAAGCAGGCAGAUCUGUUAGAUGGAUGGAGUAUCCUUACCUGAUCCAAGGCAUCUUGGUGUAGAAGGAGGAGAGAAAUGUCCUUAGUUAGCACAUGUCCAGGACAGACCAGAGCAAGUACAUGUAAGAAUCCGCACAUAGAGCCGGUCGUGGUGGCGCACGCCUUUAAUCCCAGCACUCGAGAGGCAGAGGCAGACGGAUUUCUUAGUUCGAGGACAGCCUGGUCUACAGAGUGAGUUCCAGGAUCAGCCAGGACUAUACAGAGAAGCUUUGUCUUGAAACCCCCCCCCCC
This 3113-nucleotide long non-coding RNA is filed under the name Mus musculus (house mouse). RNAcentral describes it as "long non-coding RNA chr8:111662264-111665377". Lineage: Eukaryota; Metazoa; Chordata; Mammalia; Rodentia; Muridae. The record is from RNAcentral.